Molecule: ribosomal RNA, 438 nt
Filed under: Triticum aestivum (bread wheat)
Lineage: Eukaryota; Viridiplantae; Streptophyta; Magnoliopsida; Poales; Poaceae
Description: partial small subunit ribosomal RNA
Source: RNAcentral
AUGACUAGGGAUAACCUUAGGAAGAGACACAUCAUCAAACCCCUUGAUUGUGUUUACUACUUGGAACAAGAGUCUUGUUCUCACCUAUUUUUUGAAUGUAUAGUUGCUAAACAUCUCUGGGCCCACAUUGAGGAAUAUUUCUCUAGUCAGAUUGGCUCAUCCUUCGAAUUUGUCGCCAGAUUCUGGAUUGCUACCAAAAAGUGCUCAGUUUUAAACACUGUUAGCUCAGCUGUCCUUUGGUGCCUCUGGAAAUAUAGAAAUGCUAUGAUUUUCAGUAACACCUCCUGGAUUUCCAUUCCGCAGGUCUUGAGGUUGAUCAGGAACAUGGUGAGGAACUGGGCGAUUCUCUCCUCCAGAUCAUACAAGGACAAGUUGAUGAGCUUCGUGGAAACCCUAACAAGAUCCCUCCAGAAACCGUUGGCGAUCACUUGUGGCUGA